AACAUCAGCAACUUUCAGUGUAGCUCUGGUAUCAUUAUCAUAUAUUGAACGCUGUAGAAUUGCAUCUUACUACUAUUCUAAUAUUAGGAACUCUCCGUUCGCUUUAGGAUCAUUAUCAUUGAUCUUAUAUAUUGAGAAGCGCAGUCUUGGUCCUUUGAACAGCUACUCUCAUAACCCUUCACCAUCGCGGAAACGUAAUAAACGUAAGUAACUAACUGAUACAUGUAUUUCCUAGAUAUACAUUUAUCAUACCACUAUCGCAACAGACUCAUCUCAACCCGGAUCUGGAGCCGCGAGGAGCUAAUGACGCCAUCCGACAACUUGGGCCAGUGCAGAAAAUCAAUUAAAUACAAGGAGCAAUAUGCCCACAAUGUAAUGACCGACCACCAGUGACCAGUUGACCCACGACCACCACCACCACCACCACUACCACCAUCAGUCGCCCAUGAUGAAGGCUGGCAUAAUAAUGAUAAACUGUCAAAACUACACGAUAUGCCAGAUCAUAUCUGCGGAUUGCAAUCCCCGCUGGCCAGGAGCAAACCACCACCGCCACCAGCACCGGCAGGUCGGAUCGGAUGUGGUGGUACCCACGCGCCCAACACAUUAACACGGCCCAAGGAUCGAGGACCUGACUGUCGAUCGCAACUUUAUGACUCCUAUUCGUUCGCUUUUCCACAACCAUUUGCAUCGUUUUGGUGCAAUGCCCUUGACAUUGUUGGUUGUUGGGUGGG
This 731-nucleotide long non-coding RNA is filed under the name Drosophila melanogaster (fruit fly). RNAcentral's name for it is "long non-coding RNA:CR45523 (Dmel_CR45523)". Lineage: Eukaryota; Metazoa; Arthropoda; Insecta; Diptera; Drosophilidae. The record is from RNAcentral.